CAUAACCAGUAGUAUCUACCAGGACUAAUGAAUCAGAACCAGUAGUAUCUACCAGGAAUAAUGAGUCAGAAUCAGUAGUAUCUACCAGGAAUAAUGAAUCAGAACCAGUAGUAUCUACCAGGAAUAAUGAAUCAGAACCAGUAGUAUCUACCAGGAAUAAUUAAUCAUAACCAGCAAUAUCUACCAGGAAUAAUUAAUCAUAACCAGUAGUAUCUACCAGGAAUAAUGAAUCAUAGCCAGUAGUAUCUACCAGGAAUAAUGAAACAUAACCAGUAGUAUUUACCAGGAAUAAUGAGCCAUAACCAGUAAUAUCUACCAGGAAUAAUGAAACAUAACCAGUAGUAUCUACCAGGAAUAAUGAAUCAUAACCAGUAACAUCUACCGGGAAUCAUGAAACAUAACCAGUAGUAUCUACCAGGAAUAAUGAAUCAUAACCAGUAGUAUCUACCAGGAAUAAUGAAUCAGAACCAGUAGUAUAUUCCAGGAAUAAUGAAUCAUAACCAGUAGUAUCUACCAGGAAUAAUGCAUCAGAACCAGUAACAUCUACCGGGAAUCAUGAAACAUAACCAGUAGUAUCUACCAGGAAUAAUGAGUCAUAACCAGUAAUAUCUACCAGGAAUCAUGAAACAUAAUCAGUAGUAUCUACCAGGAAUAAUGAGUCAUAACCAGUAGUAUCUACCAGGAAUAAUGAAUCAUAACAAGUAGUAUAUAGAAUGAUAAGAGAUGUUUGGUGAAUCUAUGAAUUAUGUAUUGACUGGAGUCACUCAAAAAAUAAUAAUAUUGGAUAUUUUAUUAAAUCACUUAAUCUUGCCAAAGCAUAUUCUGCAUGAGCGGUUACAGUUUUUUUGGAUUGCUUACACACUAAAAUUAAAAGUAGUACACUAUUAGCAAAACCUUACACUCAAGAAGCAAAACAUCAGCCCAUAUUUGCACAACUAUAAGCACAUUGUCAACCUCACACUUGUUGCAAAACUCUACACACAGUGAUUUGCAAAACACUAAACACACUUAACAUACAUUACACACAAAAAUCUAUCAUGAAGUCACGUCCUUGCAAUACCAAAGCACUGACUGUCAAAUUACCACACCGUCCAACCAAUUGGUUCAACAGUCAUCAGGUGUGCAAACACUCGUUUGCUUAAUUGUAGACACACCAAUCAGGUGUAUAAGCAUUAUAAAAAGCAGCAGGUGAGUUCAUCGGUCUUCAAGCACAAUGGAAAGAGUCAGAGAAAGAGUAAGACGAGGAGGAGGAGGAGGACGACGACGAGGAGGAGGAGGAGGAGGAGGAGCACGAGGAGAACGAGGAGGACGAGGAGGAGGAGGAAGUGGAAGAAGAGGAAGAGGAAGACAAGAAGGUGCUCAAAGAGGACCGAAUCUGACAAAUGAGAUCCGCGCAACACUGGUUGAACAUGUUGUCAACCACGGCCUGAUGCUGAGGGAGGCUGGACUGCGAGUACAGCCAAAUCUAAGCCGAUAUACAGUGGCAAGUGUGAUGAGAACAUUACGACUGGAAAAUAGGUACUGUAAAAAUAUCAUCAUAUCAAAAACAUCUGCACGGUUUCAGUAACUGCUUACAGUACUGUAUUCUAUGCACUAUCAGCACUUCUGUUACCUUUUCCUGUGAAAUUACUGUACUAUUGUAUACUGAUUUUUUUUUCUACAUAGGAUUGAGGGUCAGGGACGACAAGGGGGAAGGCCUUCUAUGUUCACAGAACAGCAAGAGAGGGAGAUAGUAAACAUGGUUUUGGCCAACAAUGCUAUAACACUCAAGCAGCUCCAAGCUAACAUUGUCAAUAACCACGCCAUUUUCAACGAUAUCCAUCAGGUAUCAACAUCAACACUGGCAUGCAUCCUAAAAAAACAACAUAUUCAAAUGAAGCAAAUUUAUCGAGUGCCUUUCGAGCGCAAUUCCGAAAGUGUGAAACGACUGCGGCAUGAUUAUGCAGAGAGUUUUACGAAUGGAUGGAGAGGAGAUCCAGCAUGAGUUCAUUUACGUAGAUGAGGCUAGGUUCAACCUGACGAGAACACGAAGGAGGGGAAGAAACAUCAUUGGCCACAGGGCUAUAGUCAAUGUCCCAGGGCAACGUGGGGGUAAUAUAACACUCUGUGCAGCCAUUACACAGAAUGGGGUCCUCCACCGCCAUGCCCAUAUGGGCCCUUACAACACAGCACUCAUACUUACAUUCUUGGACCAAUUGCAUAACAUAACAGCAGCAAAUCAAAUCGAUCAUAUGCAAUACAUUGUUGUCUGGGACAAUGUGUCUUUCCACCGCUCUGCUCUGGUUCAGAACUGGUUUCAGCAACAUCCACAUUUCACCGUCCUAUAUCUUCCACCAUAUUCUCCAUUCCUCAACCCUAUAGAAGAGUUUUGGCGGUGGAAGGUAUAUGAUCUCCGUCUCCAGGCUGAGGUACCCCUCAUCCAAGCCAUGGAGGAGGCCUGUGACCAGAUGGAGGUAGCAGCAAUGCAAGGAUGGAUUCGUCAUUCAAGACGUUUCUUUCCAAGGUGUCUUGCUAAUGACAACAUGCGAUGUUGAUGAAAUUCUCUGGCCAGAUCCAGCUAGGCGAAGAGACAAUGUCUAGUUUUUUUUUUUUUGAACUUACAAUACGUAAAGUGACGUUUGGUUACAGUAUUAUGAAUCUCCAUGUCAACAUUUUGGGCGUGUUGAGAAAUAAAUGAGUUUCUUCAGUCUGCAA
Molecule: long non-coding RNA, 2694 nt
Organism: Salvelinus fontinalis (brook trout)
Lineage: Eukaryota; Metazoa; Chordata; Actinopteri; Salmoniformes; Salmonidae
Exons: 2
Source: RefSeq, a predicted model, not a curated record